GUACGUGGCGGAGGCUGU
RNAcentral lists this unclassified non-coding RNA (18 nucleotides) under Chlamydomonas reinhardtii. RNAcentral's name for it is "small RNA Cre_2000". Lineage: Eukaryota; Viridiplantae; Chlorophyta; Chlorophyceae; Chlamydomonadales; Chlamydomonadaceae. The record is from RNAcentral.